GAUGAACGCUGGCGGCGUGCCUAAUACAUGCAAGUCGAACGCAUUGAGAGAAGUGCUUGCACUUUUCAAUUUGAGUGGCGAACGGGUGAGUAACACGUGGGCAACCUACCUGAUAGCGGGGGAUAACGAGUGGAAACAUUCGCUAAUACCGCAUAACAAUAGAGAAGGCAUCUUCUUUAUUUAAAAGGCGCUUUCAAGCGUCACUAUCAGAUGGGCCCGCGGUGCAUUAGUUAGUUGGUGGGGUGAAGGCCUACCAAGACGAUGAUGCAUAGCGGAGUUGUGGGACUGAUCAGCCACAUUGGGACUGAGACACGGCCCAAACUCCUACGGGAGGAUGCAGUAGGGAAUCUUCCACAAUGGACGAAAGUCUGAUGGAGCAACGCGGCGUGUGUGAUGAAGGCUUUCGGGUCGUAAAGCACUGUUGUAUGGGAAGAAAUGCUAGGCUAGGAAAUGAGCUUAGUUUGACGGUACCAUACCAGAAAGGGACGGCUAAAUACGUGCCAGCCGCCGCAGUAA
This 516-nucleotide ribosomal RNA is filed under the name uncultured bacterium. RNAcentral describes it as "partial 16S ribosomal RNA". It matches the Rfam family "Bacterial small subunit ribosomal RNA", at positions 28 to 523 of the family's 1533-position model. The record is from RNAcentral.